UAGUGGCGAACGGGUGAGUAACACGUGGGCAAUCUGCCCUUCACUCUGGGACAAGCCCUGGAAACGGGGUCUAAUACCGGAUACCACUCCUGUCCGCAUGGGCAGGGGUUGAAAGCUCCGGCGGUGAAGGAUGAGCCCGCGGCCUAUCAGCUUGUUGGUGGGGUAACGGCCCACCAAGGCGACGACGGGUAGCCGGCCUGAGAGGGCGACCGGCCACACUGGGACUGAGACACGGCCCAGACUCCUACGGGAGGCAGCAGUGGGGAAUAUUGCACAAUGGGCGAAAGCCUGAUGCAGCGACGCCGCGUGAGGGAUGACGGCCUUCGGGUUGUAAACCUCUUUCAGCAGGGAAGAAGCGAAAGUGACGGUACCUGCAGAAGAAGCGCCGGCUAACUACGUGCCAGCAGCCGCGGUAAUACGUAGGGCGCAAGCGUUGUCCGGAAUUAUUGGGCGUAAAGAGCUCGUAGGCGGCUUGUCACGUCGGAUGUGAAAGCCCGAGGCUUAACCUCGGGUCUGCAUUCGAUACGGGCUAGCUAGAGUGUGGUAGGGGAGAUCGGGAAUUCCU
Molecule: ribosomal RNA, 565 nt
Filed under: Streptomyces sp. 384F05
Lineage: Bacteria; Bacillati; Actinomycetota; Actinomycetes; Kitasatosporales; Streptomycetaceae
Description: bacterial SSU rRNA
Rfam family: Bacterial small subunit ribosomal RNA
Source: RNAcentral